Molecule: long non-coding RNA, 636 nt
Organism: Scophthalmus maximus (turbot)
Lineage: Eukaryota; Metazoa; Chordata; Actinopteri; Pleuronectiformes; Scophthalmidae
Exons: 2
Source: RefSeq, a predicted model, not a curated record
AACAUGUGUCUGCACAGUGAACGGGGCCUGUCAGCUCUGACACUUCACCACAUGUUGGUUCCACCCAUCUUCAACUUGUAGAUCUAAAGGGGAGGGAACCAGGAAAUCUGUGGACAGGGGAGCUCUCUGUGUUUGAGAGCAGGAAGAAGACGGAGGGUGAUCAGGCUUUCUCACAUUCCAGGAAGAGGAGCAGUUUGAUACUGUGCAUAUAGAACAGAACAUAGAAAUAAUUACUUUGUGUCUUUUCAAACACAAACACAACCUCAGCCUGAAGGUGAUGAACUCUAUGUGGGAUCUGUGGGUUUAGAGAAGCUUCUAAUCUCAUAACUUGCUGUAAGAGCAGAAACAUUAAUAUUCAUGGUCUUGAACAUGAAUAUGUGGACGUGAGAAGCCUGAACUCUUGUUCUAUUAGAUUUAUUCUGUCCCAGUGUAAAUAAAGAUGGAGCCCUUCAGCCGAGUCACUACACCUGUGUUGAAGAGUUGGAGUUUAACCAUCACGUAGUCUCUGUACUGACCAGCAGGGGGCGACUCCACUGGUUGUUUCAAUAUAAGUUCUUUGAGAAAGUGACUCUACUUCUAACUUGAUUUUAAUAUUAGCUUAUUGCCGUCAUACAUAAAUGUGAGAGAAUAGUAAGA